RNAcentral lists this ribosomal RNA (1374 nucleotides) under Bacillus pumilus. RNAcentral's name for it is "16S ribosomal RNA". It matches the Rfam family "Bacterial small subunit ribosomal RNA", at positions 1 to 1362 of the family's 1533-position model. The record is from RNAcentral. Lineage: Bacteria; Bacillati; Bacillota; Bacilli; Caryophanales; Bacillaceae.
UCGACAGAGUUUGAUCUGGCUCAGGACGAACGCUGGCGGCGUGCCUAAUACAUGCAAGUCGAGCGGACAGAAGGGAGCUUGCUCCCGGAUGUUAGCGGCGGACGGGUGAGUAACACGUGGGUAACCUGCCUGUAAGACUGGGAUAACUCCGGGAAACCGGAGCUAAUACCGGAUAGUUCCUUGAACCGCAUGGUUCAAGGAUGAAAGACGGUUUCGGCUGUCACUUACAGAUGGACCCGCGGCGCAUUAGCUAGUUGGUGGGGUAAUGGCUCACCAAGGCGACGAUGCGUAGCCGACCUGAGAGGGUGAUCGGCCACACUGGGACUGAGACACGGCCCAGACUCCUACGGGAGGCAGCAGUAGGGAAUCUUCCGCAAUGGACGAAAGUCUGACGGAGCAACGCCGCGUGAGUGAUGAAGGUUUUCGGAUCGUAAAGCUCUGUUGUUAGGGAAGAACAAGUGCGAGAGUAACUGCUCGCACCUUGACGGUACCUAACCAGAAAGCCACGGCUAACUACGUGCCAGCAGCCGCGGUAAUACGUAGGUGGCAAGCGUUGUCCGGAAUUAUUGGGCGUAAAGGGCUCGCAGGCGGUUUCUUAAGUCUGAUGUGAAAGCCCCCGGCUCAACCGGGGAGGGUCAUUGGAAACUGGGAAACUUGAGUGCAGAAGAGGAGAGUGGAAUUCCACGUGUAGCGGUGAAAUGCGUAGAGAUGUGGAGGAACACCAGUGGCGAAGGCGACUCUCUGGUCUGUAACUGACGCUGAGGAGCGAAAGCGUGGGGAGCGAACAGGAUUAGAUACCCUGGUAGUCCACGCCGUAAACGAUGAGUGCUAAGUGUUAGGGGGUUUCCGCCCCUUAGUGCUGCAGCUAACGCAUUAAGCACUCCGCCUGGGGAGUACGGUCGCAAGACUGAAACUCAAAGGAAUUGACGGGGGCCCGCACAAGCGGUGGAGCAUGUGGUUUAAUUCGAAGCAACGCGAAGAACCUUACCAGGUCUUGACAUCCUCUGACAACCCUAGAGAUAGGGCUUUCCCUUCGGGGACAGAGUGACAGGUGGUGCAUGGUUGUCGUCAGCUCGUGUCGUGAGAUGUUGGGUUAAGUCCCGCAACGAGCGCAACCCUUGAUCUUAGUUGCCAGCAUUCAGUUGGGCACUCUAAGGUGACUGCCGGUGACAAACCGGAGGAAGGUGGGGAUGACGUCAAAUCAUCAUGCCCCUUAUGACCUGGGCUACACACGUGCUACAAUGGACAGAACAAAGGGCUGCAAGACCGCAAGGUUUAGCCAAUCCCAUAAAUCUGUUCUCAGUUCGGAUCGCAGUCUGCAACUCGANUGCGUGAAGCUGGAAUCGCUAGUAANAGCGGAUCAGCAUGCCGCGG